AAAGUUUUACCGGAUCCCAGCAGACAUUGCUUCACAGAAAUCAAGAAGACAAUUGUGGUUGAAUGCAAUACGGCAUACAGACUAGACGGAGACGAUCAUAAAUAAUGCUCUUGUUUGCAGUGCACACUUCAUAUCAGCCUUUAAACAUCUAAACAUGUCCUCCAAAAAGGUUUCCUGUGCUGUUUUGCUCCAUUUUACAGAACAAAAUAAGGCUGAGGUAGCACCAUCCUUGUGGUUAGAGUGAAAGAAUGUGG
This is a non-coding RNA of Paramisgurnus dabryanus, 254 nucleotides long. The record is from RefSeq and is a predicted model, not a curated record. Lineage: Eukaryota; Metazoa; Chordata; Actinopteri; Cypriniformes; Cobitidae.